This 497-nucleotide ribosomal RNA is filed under the name uncultured bacterium. RNAcentral describes it as "partial 16S ribosomal RNA". It matches the Rfam family "Bacterial small subunit ribosomal RNA", at positions 28 to 507 of the family's 1533-position model. The record is from RNAcentral.
GAUGAACGCUGGCGGCGUGCCUAAUACAUGCAAGUCGAGCGAACGGACGAGAAGCUUGCUUCUCUGAUGUUAGCGGCGGACGGGUGAGUAACACGUGGAUAACCUACCUAUAAGACUGGGAUAACUUCGGGAAACCGGAGCUAAUACCGGAUGAUAUUUUGAACCGCAUGGUUCAAAAGUGAAAGACGGCCUUGCUGUCACUUAUAGAUGGAUCCGCGCUGCAUUAGCUAGUUGGUAAGGUAACGGCUUACCAAGGCAACGAUGCAUAGCCGACCUGAGAGGGUGAUCGGCCACACUGGAACUGAGACACGGUCCAGACUCCUACGGGAGGCAGCAGUAGGGAAUCUUCCGCAAUGGGCGAAGGCCUGACGGAGCAACGCCGCGUGAGUGAUGAAGGUCUUCGGAUCGUAAAACUCUGUUAUUAGGGAAGAACAUAUGUGUAAGUAACUGUGCACAUCUUGACGGUACCUAAUCAGAAAGCCACGGCUAACUACGUG